This 1439-nucleotide ribosomal RNA is filed under the name uncultured bacterium. RNAcentral's name for it is "bacterial SSU rRNA". It matches the Rfam family "Bacterial small subunit ribosomal RNA". The record is from RNAcentral.
GAGUUUGAUCAUGGCUCAGAACGUACGCUGGCGGCACGCCUAAUACAUGCAAGUCGAACGAAGUAGCAAUACUUAGUGGCAGACGGGUGAGUAACAUGUAGGUAUCUUCCCAUUGGUGAGGAAUAACACGAGGAAACUUGUGCUAAUACCUCAUAAGUCUUUACGGAGAAAGCUUUAUGCGCCAAUGGAUGAGCCUGCACUUGAUUAGUUUGUUGGUGGGGUAAUGGCCUACCAAGACAAUGAUCAAUAGCUGAUUUGAGAGGAUGAUCAGCCACAUUGGGACUGAGACACGGCCCAAACUCCUACGGGAGGCAGCAGUAGGGAAUCUUGCACAAUGGGGGAAACCCUGAUGCAGCGAUGCCGCGUGAGUGAAGAAGGCCCUUGGGUUGUAAAGCUCUUUCGUCGGGGAAGAAAAUGACUGUACCCGAAUAAGAAGGUCCGGCUAACUUCGUGCCAGCAGCCGCGGUAAUACGAAGGGACCUAGCGUAGUUCGGAAUUACUGGGCUUAAAGAGCUCGUAGGUGGUUAAAAAAGUUGAUGGUGAAAUCCCAAGGCUUAACCUUGGAACUGCCAUCAAAACUUUUUAGCUAGAGUGUGAUAGAGGUAAGUGGAAUUUCUAGUGUAGAGGUGAAAUUCGUAGAUAUUAGAAAGAACACCAAAUGCGAAGGCAACUUACUGGGUCACUACUGACACUGAGGAGCGAAAGCAUGGGUAGCGAAGAGGAUUAGAUACCCUCGUAGUCCAUGCCGUAAACGAUGUGUGCUAGACGUUGGAAAUAUAUUUUUCAGUGUCGCAGCGAAAGCAUUAAGCACACCGCCUGGGGAGUACGACCGCAAGGUUAAAACUCAAAUGAAUUGACGGGGACCCGCACAAGCAGUGGAGCAUGUGGUUUAAUUCGAAGAUACGCGCAGAACCUUACCAACACUUGACAUGUUCGUCGCGAGCCUAAGAGAUUAGGCUUUUCAGUUUGGCUGGACGAAACACAGGUGCUGCAUGGCUGUCGUCAGCUCGUGUCGUGAGAUGUUGGGUUAAGUCCCGCAACGAGCGCAACCCCUACUUUUAGUUGCCACCAUUUAGUUGGGCACUUUAAAAGAACUGCCAGUGAUAAGCUGGAGGAAGGUGGGGAUGACGUCAAGUCCUCAUGGCCCUUACGUGUUGGGCUACACACGUGCUACAAUGGUAUCUACAACAGGAAGCAAAACUGCGAGGUUAAGCAAAUCCUUAAAAGAUACCUCAGUUCGGAUUGCACUCUGCAACUCGAGUGCAUGAAGCUGGAAUUACUAGUAAUCGUGGAUCAGCGUGCCACGGUGAAUGCGUUCCCGGGUCUUGUACACACCGCCCGUCACACCAUGGGAGUUGGUUCUACCUUAAGGCAAGGUUUCAAACCCUUGACCACGGUAUAGUCAGCGACUGGGGUGAAGUCGUAACAAGGUAGCCGUA